GUUUUGUUUUCAUAAAAUCUCAGCAGCUAUAAUCUUAAAUUAUGUAUUCGAGUGAAGAAUAUUUGUUUUAAUGUCUAAAACCCAUUUCCCUUUCCCCAGUUUUUAUUUUCGUUUUAGUCAAACUCCCCUCCCCUGUCCAUUGUUUUACACACAGUCGACUACCUCCUCUGUUUUUGCUUUCUUUGCUUUUGUUUACGAGUCUAUUUCGCUGUACACCGAUUUCACAGAGUUUUCGAGUCAGUUGAGUCAUCUCCCGAGUUGCGUUUUGUAGCUGUAGCCGAGUGUUUUCUGGUUUCGUUUAGUUGAGUCGUUCAAUCCUGUUUUUGAAAUUGGAGGAAUAUGAGCUAGCUUGGAAUAAGUGGAGAAUAUUCUUGGAGUAUUGGAAGCUUGCUUGGGAAUAUUGCAAAUGCUUGAAGAAAUAAAAGAAUAAAGCAAAAAAGAGAAAAAGAUGGAAGAAAAGGAUCAUAGGGGAAUAUUCUCAAGGAAGCAUCUAGAUGGGACACCUACACCCCCCUCUACCCUAAUUUCCCCCUAUAAAUACACACCUCCCUAUCAUGUUUCAACCUACCUAGGAUUUCAUAUUUUUAGUAGCCUCUCUUUUAUGUAGUAGAUCUAGUAGUAGCACUCUAAAUUUGUAAACACUUUUAUUAUAUCAAUACAAGUAUUCAUUUGUGUU
Molecule: long non-coding RNA, 676 nt
Organism: Daucus carota subsp. sativus
Lineage: Eukaryota; Viridiplantae; Streptophyta; Magnoliopsida; Apiales; Apiaceae
Exons: 3
Source: RefSeq, a predicted model, not a curated record